This 254-nucleotide ribosomal RNA is filed under the name uncultured bacterium. Its description in RNAcentral is "partial 16S ribosomal RNA". It matches the Rfam family "Bacterial small subunit ribosomal RNA", at positions 524 to 776 of the family's 1533-position model. The record is from RNAcentral.
UACGUAGGGGGCAAGCGUUGUCCGGAUUUAUUGGGCGUAAAGAGCUCGUAGGCGGUGUGUCGCGUCGGCCGUGAAAACCUGCAGCUUAACUGUGGGCUUGCGGUCGAUACGGGCAUCACUGGAGUUCGGCAGGGGAGACUGGAAUUCCUGGCGUAGCGGUGAAAUGCGCAGAUAUCAGGAGGAACACCGGUGGCGAAGGCGACAUCCUGGACCGGUAUUGACGCUGAGGCGCGAAAGCCAGGGGAGCAAACGGG